AUUGAACGCUGGCGGAAUGCUUUACACAUGCAAGUCGAACGGCAGCACGGGGGCAACCCUGGCGGCGAGUGGCGAACGGGUGAGUAAUACAUCGGAACGUGCCCAGUCGUGGGGGAUAACUACGGGAAACCGUAGCUAAUACCGCAUACGAACUCUGGUUGAAAGCGGGGGAUCGCAAGACCUCGCGCGAUUGGAGCGGCCGAUGGCAGAUUAGGUAGUUGGUGGGGUAAAGGCUCACCAAGCCGACGAUCUGUAGCUGGUCUGAGAGGACGACCAGCCACACUGGGACUGAGACACGGCCCAGACUCCUACGGGAGGCAGCAGUGGGGAAUUUUGGACAAGUGGGGGAACCCUGAUCCAGCCAUGCCGCGUGCGGGAAGAAGG
Molecule: ribosomal RNA, 384 nt
Filed under: uncultured bacterium
Lineage: Bacteria
Description: bacterial SSU rRNA
Rfam family: Bacterial small subunit ribosomal RNA
Source: RNAcentral